AGAACGAACGCUGGCGGCAGGCUUAACACAUGCAAGUCGAACGGUUGUAGCAAUACAGCAGUGGCAGACGGGUGAGUAACACGUGGGAACCUUCCUAGGGGUACGGAACAACUCAGGGAAACUUGAGCUAAUACCGUAUACGUCCGUGAGGAGAAAGAUUUAUCGCCCCUAGACGGGCCCGCGUAGGAUUAGGUAGUUGGUGAGGUAACGGCUCACCAAGCCUACGAUCCUUAGCUGAUCUGAGAGGAUGAUCAGCCACACUGGGACUGAGACACGGCCCAGACUCCUACGGGAGGCAGCAGUGGGGAAUCUUGGACAAUGGGCGCAAGCCUGAUCCAGCCAUCGCCGCGUGAGUGAAGAAGGCCUUCGGGUUGAAACGUCUUACUUUUACCGAGGGACGUAAUAAUGGACCGGUACGUGGAGAAUAACGCCCCGG
This 436-nucleotide ribosomal RNA is filed under the name uncultured soil bacterium. Its description in RNAcentral is "bacterial SSU rRNA". It matches the Rfam family "Bacterial small subunit ribosomal RNA", at positions 26 to 496 of the family's 1533-position model. The record is from RNAcentral.